RNAcentral lists this ribosomal RNA (253 nucleotides) under uncultured bacterium. RNAcentral's name for it is "partial 16S ribosomal RNA". It matches the Rfam family "Bacterial small subunit ribosomal RNA", at positions 524 to 776 of the family's 1533-position model. The record is from RNAcentral.
UACGUAGGGUCCGAGCGUUAAUCGGAAUUACUGGGCGUAAAGCGUGCGCAGGCGGUUUUGUAAGACAGAUGUGAAAUCCCCGAGCUUAACUUGGGAACUGCAUUUGGGACUGCAAGGCUGGAGUACGGCAGAGGGAGGUGGAAUUCCACGUGUAGCAGUGAAAUGCGUAGAGAUGUGGAGGAACACCGAUGGCGAAGGCAGCCUCCUGGGCUAGUACUGACGCUCAUGCACGAAAGCGUGGGGAGCAAACAGG